UGCUGAGAAGGAUGUACAAGGGCAUCUGCAGCCAAAUCCAAGCCUCCUCAGCAACUUCAAGUCUGUCAGCGUGCUGAGGUCACAGAAACAAGAAAAGAAGCUUCAGACUUCAGAGUGUUGUUUACAGUUUUCUGUCAUCAUGAUCUCCCCUGAAGUUUAUCACUAUUAGGCAAGCAAGCAGAGCAGCAGUUUGUGCUCACAGAUGGUGACGGGGUGGAGAGACAGUGGUGUUUCCUCAGAAGAACUAGCAGAGUCACCAAGGACACGAGUCCAUCUCACCACCUUGACUUGUUGAUCAGUGGAUACACUUGUCUCCCCUUUAAAGGAGAUACUCUUAGAGAGAGACGAUCCGAGUCAUCCUUAAAUAUGGGCAGGAUAUCACUAUUGGACUGUCUAACCUGCCGGAGCAGCACUGAAUGACCACCACACAUGAUCAGUUCCUGCAACAUUCAGCAGCUCUGCUUUUGUGUCAAAUGUCCAACAGCUGGAGAGGAAACUACAC
Molecule: long non-coding RNA, 502 nt
Organism: Oreochromis aureus
Lineage: Eukaryota; Metazoa; Chordata; Actinopteri; Cichliformes; Cichlidae
Exons: 5
Source: RefSeq, a predicted model, not a curated record